GAGUUUGAUCCUGGCUCAGGAUGAACGCUAGCGGGAGGCCUAACACAUGCAAGCCGAGCGGUAUUGUUUCUUCGGAAAUGAGAGAGCGGCGUACGGGUGCGGAACACGUGUGCAACCUGCCUUUAUCUGGGGGAUAGCCUUUCGAAAGGAAGAUUAAUACUCCAUAAUAUAUUGAACGGCAUCGUUUAAUAUUGAAAGCUCCGGCGGAUAGAGAUGGGCACGCGCAAGAUUAGCUAGUUGGUGAGGUAACGGCUCACCAAGGCGAUGAUCUUGGGGGCCUGAGAGGGUGAUCCCCACACUGGUACUGAGACACGGACCAGACUCCUACGGGAGGCAGCAGUGAGGAAUAUUGGUCAAUGGGUGCAAGCCUGAACCAGCCAUCCCGCGUGAAGGACGACUGCCCUAUGGGUUGUAAACUUCUUUUGUAUAGGGAUAAAACCUCCCUCGUGAGGGUAGCUGAAGGUACUAUACGAAUAGCACGGCUAACUCGUGC
Molecule: ribosomal RNA, 493 nt
Filed under: uncultured microorganism
Description: bacterial SSU rRNA
Rfam family: Bacterial small subunit ribosomal RNA
Source: RNAcentral